UGGGAAGUAGCACAAUGGGUCUGCUCC
This 27-nucleotide non-coding RNA is filed under the name Homo sapiens (human). The record is from RNAcentral. Lineage: Eukaryota; Metazoa; Chordata; Mammalia; Primates; Hominidae.